RNAcentral lists this ribosomal RNA (253 nucleotides) under uncultured bacterium. RNAcentral's name for it is "partial 16S ribosomal RNA". It matches the Rfam family "Bacterial small subunit ribosomal RNA", at positions 524 to 776 of the family's 1533-position model. The record is from RNAcentral.
UACGUAGGGCGCAAGCGUUAUCCGGAAUUAUUGGGCGUAAAGAGCUCGUAGGCGGUUUGUCGCGUCUGCCGUGAAAGUCCGGGGCUCAACUCCGGAUCUGCGGUGGGUACGGGCAGACUAGAGUGAUGUAGGGGAGACUGGAAUUCCCGGUGUAGCGGUGAAAUGCGCAGAUAUCGGGAGGAACACCGGUGGCGAAGGCGGUUCUCUGGGCCUGACCUGACGCUGAGGAGCGAAAGCGUGGGGAGCGAACAGG